CCUACGGGAGGCAGCAGUGGGGGAUAUUGCACAAUGGGGGAAACCCUGAUGCAGCGACGCCGCGUGAGUGAAGAAGUAUUUCGGUAUGUAAAGCUCUAUCAGCAGGGAAGAAAAAAGACGGUACCUGACUAAGAAGCCCCGGCUAACUACGUGCCAGCAGCCGCGGUAAUACGUAGGGGGCAAGCGUUAUCCGGAUUUACUGGGUGUAAAGGGAGCGUAGACGGCAAUCCAAGUCGGAAGUGAAAUCCCCGGGCUCAACCUGGGAACUGCUUUGGAACCUGUAUGGCUGGAGUGCUGGAGAGGUAAGCGGAAUUCCGAGUGUAGCGGUGAAAUGCGUAGAUAGUAGGAGGAACACCAGUGGCGAAGGCGGCUUACUGGACAGUAACUGACGUUGAGGCUCGAAAGCGUGGGGAGCAAACAGGAUUAGAUACCCUGGUAGUC
This 441-nucleotide ribosomal RNA is filed under the name uncultured bacterium. RNAcentral describes it as "partial 16S ribosomal RNA". It matches the Rfam family "Bacterial small subunit ribosomal RNA", at positions 338 to 795 of the family's 1533-position model. The record is from RNAcentral.